RNAcentral lists this ribosomal RNA (422 nucleotides) under uncultured bacterium. RNAcentral's name for it is "bacterial SSU rRNA". It matches the Rfam family "Bacterial small subunit ribosomal RNA", at positions 29 to 439 of the family's 1533-position model. The record is from RNAcentral.
AACGAACGCUGGCGGCGUGCCUAACACAUGCAAGUCGAGCGCGAAUGGAGCAAUCCUAGUAGAGCGGCGCACGGGUGCGUAACACGUGGAUAAUCUGCCUGGGUGUCUGGGAUAACCAGUCGAAAGACUGGCUAAUACCGGAUAAGACCACGGUCUCUUCGGAGGCUGUGAGAAAAGGUGGCCUCUGUAUACAAGCUAUCACAUCCAGAUGAGCCGCGGCCCAUCAGCUAGUUGGCGGGGUAAUGGCCCACCAAGGCGACGACGGGUAGCUGGUCUGAGAGGACGAUCAGCCACACUGGAACUGAGACACGGUCCAGACUCCUACGGGAGGCAGCAGUGGGGAAUUUUGCGCAAUGGGCGAAAGCCUGACGCAGCAACGCCGCGUGUGUGAUGAAGGUCUUCGGAUUGUAAAGCACUUUCGA